RNAcentral lists this ribosomal RNA (501 nucleotides) under uncultured bacterium. RNAcentral describes it as "partial 16S ribosomal RNA". It matches the Rfam family "Bacterial small subunit ribosomal RNA", at positions 30 to 523 of the family's 1533-position model. The record is from RNAcentral.
AUUGAACGCUGGCGGCAUGCCUUACACAUGCAAGUCGAACGGCAGCACGGGUGCUUGCACCUGGUGGCGAGUGGCGAACGGGUGAGUAAUACAUCGGAACGUACCUUAUUGUGGGGGAUAACGCAGCGAAAGCUGUGCUAAUACCACAUAAUCCCUAAGGGGGAAAGCGGGGGACCGUAAGGCCUCGCGCAAUUAGAGCGGCCGAUACCUGAUUAGCUAGUUGGUGAGGUAAAGGCUCACCAAGGCAACGAUCAGUAGCUGGUCUGAGAGGACGAUCAGCCACACUGGGACUGAGACACGGCCCAGACUCCUACGGGAGGCAGCAGUGGGGAAUUUUGGACAAUGGGGGCAACCCUGAUCCAGCAAUGCCGCGUGAGUGAAGAAGGCCUUCGGGUUGUAAAGCUCUUUUGUCAGGGAAGAAACUGCAGCUCUAACACAGUUUGCGAAUGACGGUACCUGAAGAAUAAGCACCGGCUAACUACGUGCCAGCAGCCGCCGUAA